GAGGAAUCUAUUGACCGCCAAGCCCGCCCCUUACCGGGGGCGGGGGAGGGCGGCCGAAAAGAGGAAUCU
Molecule: non-coding RNA, 69 nt
Organism: Tepidimonas fonticaldi
Lineage: Bacteria; Pseudomonadati; Pseudomonadota; Betaproteobacteria; Burkholderiales
Source: Rfam